AACGAACGCUGGCGGCAUGCCUAACACAUGCAAGUCGAACGAGACCUUCGGUUCUAGUGGCGCACGGGUGCGUAACGCGUGGGAACCUGCCCUUAGCUUCGGAAUAACACCCCGCAAGGGGUGCUAAUACCGGGUAAUGUUUUCGGACCAAAGAUUUAUCGCCUUUGGAUGGGCCCGCGUUGGAUUAGCUAGAUGGUAGGGUAAAAGCCUACCAAGGCGACGAUCCAUAGCUGGUCUGAGCGGAUGAUCAGCCACACUGGGACUGAGACACGGCCCAGACCUGUAGGGGCGGCAGCAGUCGGGACUAUUAGUGUACGGGCGCAGGCCUGAUCCAGCCAUGCCGCGUGAGGGACGAGGGCGUUAGGGUUGUAAAGCCCUUUCACGCGCUAUGAUAAUGACAGUACCGGGCGCAUAAGCUCGGCCUCACCCCUGG
RNAcentral lists this ribosomal RNA (433 nucleotides) under uncultured bacterium. RNAcentral's name for it is "partial 16S ribosomal RNA". It matches the Rfam family "Bacterial small subunit ribosomal RNA", at positions 29 to 507 of the family's 1533-position model. The record is from RNAcentral.